GACGAACGCUGGCGGCGUGCUUAACACAUGCAAGUCGAACGGAAAGGCCCUGCUUUUGUGGGGUGCUCGAGUGGCGAACGGGUGAGUAACACGUGAGUAACCUGCCCUUGACUUUGGGAUAACUUCAGGAAACUGGGGCUAAUACCGGAUAGGAGCUCCUGCUGCAUGGUGGGGGUUGGAAAGUUUCGGCGGUUGGGGAGGGACUCGCGGCUUAUCAGCUUGUUGGUGGGGUAGUGGCUUACCAAGGCUUUGACGGGUAGCCGGCCUGAGAGGGUGACCGGCCACAUUGGGACUGAGAUACGGCCCAGACUCCGACGGGAGGAAGCAGUGGGGAAUAUUGCACAAUGGGCGGAGGCCUGAUGCAGCAACGCCGCGUGCGGGAUGACGGCCUUCGGGUUGUAAACCGCUUUCGCCUGUGACGAAGCGUGAGUGACGGUAAUGGGUAAAGAAGCACCGGCUAACUACGU
RNAcentral lists this ribosomal RNA (467 nucleotides) under uncultured bacterium. RNAcentral's name for it is "partial 16S ribosomal RNA". It matches the Rfam family "Bacterial small subunit ribosomal RNA", at positions 28 to 506 of the family's 1533-position model. The record is from RNAcentral.